RNAcentral lists this ribosomal RNA (502 nucleotides) under Chelidoperca maculicauda (Indian perchlet). Its description in RNAcentral is "partial 16S ribosomal RNA". It matches the Rfam family "Bacterial large subunit ribosomal RNA", at positions 1922 to 2572 of the family's 2925-position model. Lineage: Eukaryota; Metazoa; Chordata; Actinopteri; Perciformes; Serranidae. The record is from RNAcentral.
GUUUAACGGCCGCGGUAUUCUAACCGUGCGAAGGUAGCGCAAUCACUUGUCUCUUAAAAUAGGGACCUGUAUGAAUGGCUCAACGAGGGCUUGACUGUCUCCUUUUUCUCGUCAAUGAAAUUGAUCUCCCCGUGCAGAAGCGGGGAUAGUAGCAUAAGACGAGAAGACCCUAUGAAGCUUCUAGACCCUAAGAGAGAUUACGUUAAAUAACCCCACCAAAGGAAUGAAAAUCAGCAACAACUCUUCUAGCGUCUUUGGUUGGGGCGACCGCGGGGAAAUAAAUAACCCCCACGAGGACAGGGAGAACCUACCCUCCUACAACCCAGAGCUACAGCUCCAAGUAACAAAAUUUUUGACCUAAAUGAUCCGGCAACGCCGAUCAACGGACCGAGUUACUCUAGGGAUAACAGCGCAAUCCUCUUUUAGAGCCCAUAUCGACAAGGGGGUUUACGACCUCGAUGUUGGAUCAGGACAUCCUAAUGGUGCAGCCGCUAUUAAGGGU